Molecule: long non-coding RNA, 722 nt
Filed under: Lepisosteus oculatus (spotted gar)
Lineage: Eukaryota; Metazoa; Chordata; Actinopteri; Semionotiformes; Lepisosteidae
Description: lncRNA (ENSLOCG00000022788.1)
Source: RNAcentral
GGGGCCGCCCUCUCCGCGGCCCCUCUCCGAGGGGGGUGGCAGCGGCGUGCCGGACUCGGAGGCCGAGUGGAGGGCCCUGUUCCUCAUGGACUACGACCCCCUGAACCAGCUGCUGGUGUGCAUGGUGUGCGGGGAGCUGCAGCACUCCCAGAGCGCGGAGGGGGCGCGGUGCCACAUCGAGGAGGCCCACCCGGACUCCCUGGGCCUCUCCGCCCAGGACAGGAACCGCAUCCUGGCCGCCUGGGACGAGCAGGUGUCCCUGAGGGAGCGCUUCUUCACCAGCCAGCUGCAGCAGCACCAGGCCAGGCCAGAUGAGACAGAGGACCCCCCGGCCGAGAUCGAAGUUCUCGUGGACUCUGAUGAAGCGCCGGCCUCGAAAGACCGCCGCGCCGCGUCAAAGAACAAGUCCAAAAACACAGGUAGGAGAACCAGCAGGGGGACGAGAAAACCUCUUCUUCAGUGUAGUGCAGGAACCCUGAGGAAGACUUUUUUGCAGAAGAAGAGUUUCUUGCUUGACAUGACUUGAACCCUUGCACGCCGAAUCCUUAACCCUGAACCCUGCACUUUGAAUCCUGAAUCCUUAACCCCGAACCCUGAACUUUCAACCCUGAAGUUUGAAUUCUGAAUCCUUAACCCUGAACUUUCAACCCUGAACCCUGGACCUUUGAACCUUGAAUCUUUAACCCUUAACCCUGAACUUUCAACCCUGAACCCUGGACCUU